AGUUUGAUCCUGGCUCAGGACGAACGCUGGCGGCGUGCCUAAUGCAUGCAAGUCGAGCGACGAAUAGGUGCGGGUAACCAACCCUAUUACGGAGCGGCGAACGGGUGAGUAACACGUGAGCAACCUGCCCCGCAGAUCGGGAUAGCCCAGGGAAACUUGGAUUAAUACCGGAUAUUCUCUUCGAACCACAUGGCUCAAAGAGGAAAGCUUUUGUGCUGCGGGAUGGGCUCACGGCCUAUCAGCUUGUUGGUGGGGUAACGGCCUACCAAGGCGUCGACGGGUAGCUGGUCUGAGAGGACGAUCAGCCACACUGGGACUGAGACACGGCCCAGACUCCUACGGGAGGCAGCAGCAGGGAAUUUUGCGCAAUGGGCGAAAGCCUGACGCAGCAACGCCGCGUGGGGGAUGAAGGCCUUCGGGUUGUAAACCCCUUUAGGGAGGGACGAAAUUGACGGUACCUCCAGAAUAAGCCCCGGCCAACUACGUGCCAGCAGCCGCGGUGAUACGUAGGGGGCAAGCGUUGUCCGGAAUCAUUGGGCGUAAAGAGCUCGUAGGCGGCUUAGUUAGUCGGUCGUGAAAGCCCGAGGCUUAACUUCGGGACUGCGGUCGAUACUGCUAUGGCUAGAGUUUGGUAGAGGAGAACGGAAUUCCCGGUGUAGCGGUGGAAUGCGCAGAUAUCGGGAGGAACACCUGUGGCGAAGGCGGUUCUCUGGGCCAAUACUGACGCUGAGGAGCGAAAGCGUGGGGAGCGAACAGGAUUAGAGACCCUGGUAGUCCACGCUGUAAACGUUGGGCACUAGGUGUGGCGACCCGAUCAACGGUUGCCGUACCGAAGCUAACGCAUUAAGUGCCCCGCCUGGGGAGUACGGCCGCAAGGCUAAAACUCAA
This 888-nucleotide ribosomal RNA is filed under the name uncultured bacterium. RNAcentral describes it as "bacterial SSU rRNA". It matches the Rfam family "Bacterial small subunit ribosomal RNA", at positions 10 to 904 of the family's 1533-position model. The record is from RNAcentral.